GACGAACGCUGGCGGCGUGCCUAAUACAUGCAAGUAGAACGCUGAAGGAGGAGCUUGCUUCUCUGGAUGAGUUGCGAACGGGUGAGUAACGCGUAGGUAACCUGCCUGGUAGCGGGGGAUAACUAUUGGAAACGAUAGCUAAUACCGCAUAAGAGUAGAUGUUGCAUGACAUUUGCUUAAAAGGUGCAAUUGCAUCACUACCAGAUGGACCUGCGUUGUAUUAGCUAGUUGGUGAGGUAACGGCUCACCAAGGCAACGAUACAUAGCCGACCUGAGAGGGUGAUCGGCCACACUGGGACUGAGACACGGCCCAGACUCCUACGGGAGGCAGCAGUAGGGAAUCUUCGGCAAUGGACGGAAGUCUGACCGAGCAACGCCGCGUGAGUGAAGAAGGUUUUCGGAUCGUAAAGCUCUGUUGUAAGAGAAGAACGAGUGUGAGAGUGGAAAGUUCACACUGUGACGGUAUCUUACCAGAAAAGGACGGCUAACUACGU
RNAcentral lists this ribosomal RNA (494 nucleotides) under uncultured bacterium. RNAcentral's name for it is "partial 16S ribosomal RNA". It matches the Rfam family "Bacterial small subunit ribosomal RNA", at positions 28 to 506 of the family's 1533-position model. The record is from RNAcentral.